Mercurialis annua (annual mercury) is the source of this 688-nucleotide long non-coding RNA. RefSeq lists it as uncharacterized. Lineage: Eukaryota; Viridiplantae; Streptophyta; Magnoliopsida; Malpighiales; Euphorbiaceae. The record is from RefSeq and is a predicted model, not a curated record. The transcript is spliced from 2 exons.
UCACUUUAACCAUUAAAACCCUAAAACCAUUAAAACUAUUAGCUUCUUCUCCAUUCUCAAACUCCAGUCACCAUUUUCUUCCUCAUCCAUCUAAGUAUCGCGGAUGACAUCACCAUCUUCUCCACUCACCCAACAACCGCCGGCAUCAUCAUCUUCAUCUUACCAGCGUCGCCUCCUUGCCCACACCUAUUUGUCCUUGCCGUCGCCAUCACCCCCAGCUGCAUCUAGCAACAAAACCGCCGCCAAUAGCAACAACAGUCAUGACGGGUUGAACCACGUCUUCUAGUAGCAGCAGCGGUGGCCACCGUCGUCCUCCAGGAGAAAUAAUCGCCAGUCGUCUUUCAGCAACAACAACAAAAACAGCUGAUCCAUCCCCAAAGCUGCCUUCUCGUUUUCUCCAGCGACGAAUGAUUGAUGCAGCGGUGGAGGAAGAUUGAUGCAGCGGUGAUAGAAGAUUGUCCCUUCUAUGUAGGGAAAAGGAACAAAAAUUAAUUUACUGGGUUUCGAUUUUGAUUAUGCUGUUGAUAGUGGUGGUAAUGAUUGGGCGGCGACGGUGAUGAUGUGGGCGGCAGUGGUGACGAUGGGCGGCAAGAAAUUGACAAGAGGAAUGAAGAAGAUAAUGUAAAUUUGUAAUAAUUAAAAUUUGUAUUAGAAAAAUUAAGAUUAAUUAGAUUUAAUUUUUAGAGAA